Molecule: small nuclear RNA, 302 nt
Filed under: Neotoma lepida (desert woodrat)
Lineage: Eukaryota; Metazoa; Chordata; Mammalia; Rodentia; Cricetidae
Description: 7SK RNA
Rfam family: 7SK RNA
About the family: 7SK was discovered as an abundant small nuclear RNA in the mid-70s but a possible function has only recently been suggested. Two independent studies have found that 7SK RNA binds the CDK9/cyclin T complex (known as elongation factor P-TEFb). P-TEFb activates transcription by phosphorylating the C-terminal domain of RNA polymerase II.
Source: Rfam by way of RNAcentral
AUAUGAGAGGGUGAUCUGGCUGUAUUUGUCACUCCAUUCAUUGCUAGAGUUGAUAUGCUAAUAUAACGGGGGGAUUCUCUCUCUCCCUCGUGGCUCCAUGUGUAUCCCUCUAGAAGCUGUGCACUCAGUGGAGAAGAAAUGUCUUCACUAAAUGGAGGAUAACUAAUCUGUCUUAGGUCAAGAGUAUAUGNGGAACUGUGUUCCUUUGCUAGAACCUCCAAACAAGCUCUUGACUUUUUUGUUCCAUAACCAAGUAGGUCAAUUAUUUGGAGAUGGAUUUUAUUUUCACUUUUCUCUGUAAU